CAGGGCGUAGCUCAGUUAGUGCAGAGCGUCCGCCGUGGGAGCGGAAGGUCGCAGGUUCAAAUCCUGCCGUCCUGACCA
RNAcentral lists this transfer RNA (78 nucleotides) under Sphingomonas sp. BK580. RNAcentral's name for it is "tRNA-Pro". It matches the Rfam family "tRNA". From Rfam's summary of the family: Transfer RNA (tRNA) molecules are approximately 80 nucleotides in length. Lineage: Bacteria; Pseudomonadati; Pseudomonadota; Alphaproteobacteria; Sphingomonadales; Sphingomonadaceae. The record is from RNAcentral.